Long non-coding RNA from Erigeron canadensis, 922 nucleotides. RefSeq lists it as uncharacterized. The transcript is spliced from 3 exons. NCBI's taxonomy places the organism in Eukaryota, Viridiplantae, Streptophyta, Magnoliopsida, Asterales, Asteraceae. The record is from RefSeq and is a predicted model, not a curated record.
CAUACUUGGCCGAUGUGGGAUCAUAUCAAUACCUCACCCUUUGAAGAGCCAAUGUCCACGUUGGUCACUGCUAUGGUGAUCACGAUUGGCACCCUUCUCCUUGGGUCUAACCCACCUCUCCAUAGGCCACCACUCCGAGCGUUGGAACCUCGAAAGGUAGGGCUGGCUCUGAUACCAAUUGAUACGAACUCAUCCCAUAAUAGACUCGUAUCAUGCCAUAAGCUAGGUGUAGAACUCGCUCCCAAAAGCUAGCUCAAAGGAGGAGGAUACACCUAGGUUUAUAAACCACCAACCAAUCUCAUACUUGGCCGAUGUGGGAUCAUAUCAUACUUACUGAUUAUAACUGAUAUGUUGUUUGAAUAUAUAAUGGUAUUGUGGUAUGCACCACCUUGCUUUGCUGUUCUAAGUUUAUGAUAAUUCUUUAUUUCCAUGAAAGGUUAGGUAAAUAAAUGUGUCUAUACCCAGGUUCUGGUUGUGGGUGACGGCGAUGGUGGAGUUUCGAGGUUAGAAGGUUUUUCCUGAGUAGGCUCAUGACUUUGAAGUUCCACGUGUACAUCUCCAUGUUGCUGAUGCUGUUGGUCACUGCUUGCCGUGAAAGGUGAGAUAUUCUGGGGGUUCUGUUCAUUAUGCAUGGACAAGCGUACCCACAUAUCCAAGGUGUGAUUGAACUCAUCCGAUUUCUGCUUAAAGCCUACCUAGAAUUUUUGGGUGAAUUGCUAAAUAAAUUGGGAUCUAGAAAGUUGUGGAAAAACAAAUGUCCAAUGGAAUUUAAACCUAAAAAGCUGUAGAAGAACGCACAACAGAACUCGAAACCUCAUUGUUAGUAUUGGUUAUGCAGUGGUACAAUUGGAUUCUUACUGUGCUCAACUGAAGGACCGCCUGUAGACUUCAAGAUUUCUAAAACCCCAAAUAAGAAACUAGA